This 518-nucleotide ribosomal RNA is filed under the name Epilachna patricia. RNAcentral's name for it is "partial 16S ribosomal RNA". It matches the Rfam family "Bacterial large subunit ribosomal RNA", at positions 1826 to 2612 of the family's 2925-position model. Lineage: Eukaryota; Metazoa; Arthropoda; Insecta; Coleoptera; Coccinellidae. The record is from RNAcentral.
CUCUUUUUGAAUAUAAUUUAAAGUCAGGCCUGCCCACUGAAAUUUGAAGGGCCGCAGUAUUUUGACUGUGCAAAGGUAGCAUAAUCAUUAGUUUUUUAAUUGAAAGCUUGUAUGAAUGGUUUGAUGAGAAAAUUUCUGUUUCAAUUUUAAUUUAUAGAAUUUUAUUUUUAAGUAAAAAAGCUUAAAUAUUAUUUAAAGACGAGAAGACCCUAUAGAGUUUUACUUAUAUUAAAAUUUUAAAUUUUAGAAUUUUAUAUUUAAAAUUUUAUAAAAGUUUUGUUGGGGUGACAAAAAAAUUAGACUAACUUUUUUUAAAUAAAAACAAUAAUUUUUGAUUAUUUGAUCCAUUGAAUUGAUUAAAAGAUUAAAUUACCUUAGGGAUAACAGCGUAAUUUUUUUUAAGAGUUCUUAUUUAAAAAAGAGAUUGCGACCUCGAUGUUGGAUUAAAAUUUAUUUUUGGUGGAGAAGCUAAAAAAUUAGGUCUGUUCGACCUUUAAAAUUUUACAUGAUCUGAGUUU